This 173-nucleotide ribosomal RNA is filed under the name uncultured Bacteroidota bacterium. RNAcentral's name for it is "uncultured Bacteroidetes bacterium partial 16S ribosomal RNA". It matches the Rfam family "Bacterial small subunit ribosomal RNA", at positions 338 to 507 of the family's 1533-position model. Lineage: Bacteria; Pseudomonadati; Bacteroidota. The record is from RNAcentral.
CCUACGGGAGGCAGCAGUGAGGAAUAUUGGACAAUGGGCGAGAGCCUGAUCCAGCCAUGCCGCGUGCAGGAAGACAGCCUUAUGGGUUGUAAACUGCUUUUAUACAGGAAUAAUCCCCCRUUGCUGAAAGGGGCUGAAGGUACUGAUUGAAUAAGGACCGGCUAACUCCGGUG